Molecule: ribosomal RNA, 468 nt
Filed under: uncultured bacterium
Lineage: Bacteria
Description: partial 16S ribosomal RNA
Rfam family: Bacterial small subunit ribosomal RNA
Source: RNAcentral
GACGAACGCUGGCGGCGUGCUUAACACAUGCAAGUCGAACGGAAAGGCCCUGCCUUGGUGGGGUGCUCGGGUGGCGAACGGGUGAGUAACACGUGAGUUACCUGCCCUUGACUUUGGGGUAACUUCAGGAAACUGGGUCUAAUACCGGAUAGGAGCUCCUGCUGCAGGGUGGGGGUUGGAUAGUUUCGGCGGUUGGGGAUGGACUCGCGGCUUAUCAGCUUGAUGGUUGGGUAGUGGCUUACCAAGGCUUUGACGGGUAGCCGGCCUGAGCGGGUGACCGGCCAAAUUGGGACUGAGAUACGGCCCAGCCUCCUACGGGAGGCAGCAGUGGGGAAUAUUGCACAAUGGGCGGAAGCCUGAUGCAGCACCGCCGCGUGCGGGAUGAGGGCCUUCGGUUUGUAAACCGCUUUCGCCUGUGACGAAGCGUGAGUGACGGUAAUGGGUAAAGAAGCACCGGCUAACUACGUG